This 635-nucleotide long non-coding RNA is filed under the name Phaseolus vulgaris (common bean). Its description in RNAcentral is "long non-coding RNA (PVUL_LNC002972)". The record is from RNAcentral. Lineage: Eukaryota; Viridiplantae; Streptophyta; Magnoliopsida; Fabales; Fabaceae.
UAAUUUGAUGAGUUUGUAGGUUCACUAAACGUAAGGAACAGGUAUUCUCUGGGUGUCAGAGCCAGUUACCAUAUCAUCCCACAGCAAAUUUGAAAGUAGCAUUGUUAAUUCUCCAACACUCCCUGUCAAACAUAUAUAAUUGAAUAAACAAAAAGAGAGACUCAACCACAUGUGUAUGAGAGCAAGAGAAGUAAAUUUUGAUCACUACGAACAGUCAAGAUUAAAACACAAAAAGUGUUGUAAUUUUUUUAAGUAAAGUGACCUUUAGCUUAAGGUCCUAUUUGGAUACAUUUUAUCCACAAACACUUACAAGAGAAAAAAUAGCAAAAAAAAUGUUUUGUAAUUUAAAAUUAACUAAUUUGUAAACUCUCAUAUCAGUCUCUCCAAAUCUGUUUUGAAUUUAUAUAUAAACUACAGCCUACAUGGCAUACAAAGGCAGAUAUAUAUCGGAUAAUAGCUGUUAGUCUGUUAUUAAAUACAAGCUUACCAGUGCCAAUGGGUUGAUCAUCCCACACGAUGAUAGGCAACACAGGAAGUGUGCUUCCCACAUACAUCAUUUCAGCAGCAGCUUUAGCUUCCUCCACAGUUAGUUUUUUAGUUGCUACACCUUUCAGGAGCCCUUGAUCAACCAACUU